RNAcentral lists this ribosomal RNA (253 nucleotides) under uncultured bacterium. RNAcentral's name for it is "partial 16S ribosomal RNA". It matches the Rfam family "Bacterial small subunit ribosomal RNA", at positions 524 to 776 of the family's 1533-position model. The record is from RNAcentral.
UACGGAGGGGGCAAGCGUUGUCCGGAAUCAUUGGGCGUAAAGAGCGUGUAGGCGGUCCGGUAAGUCCGCUGUGAAAGUCGGGGGCUCAACCCUCGAAUGCCGGUGGAUACUGUCGGGCUAGAGUGCGGAAGAGGCGAGUGGAAUUCCUGGUGUAGCGGUGAAAUGCGUAGAGAUCGGAAGGAACAUCAGUGGCGAAGGCGGCCACCUGGAUCAAUACUGACGCUGAGGAGCGAAAGCGUGGGGAGCAAACAGG